CCUACGGGUGGCAGCAGUGGGGAAUCUUCCGCAAUGGGCGAAAGCCUGACGGAGCAACGCCGCGUGAUCGAAUGAAGGCCUGCGGGUUGUAAAGAUCUGUUGACAGGGACGAAGAAGCAAUGCAAAUAGGUUUGUGUAUGACGGUACCUGUUGAGAAAGCGCCGGCUAACUACGUGCCAGCAGCCGCGGGAAUACGUAGGGAGCAAGCGUUGUCCGGAAUUACUGGGCGUACAGGGCGCGUAGGUGGGCGCUUAAGUCAGGGGGGAAAACUCCGGGCUCACCCUGGAGACUGCACUUGAAACUGGGUGUCUUGAGGGCAGUAGAGGCAAGUGGAAUUCCUAGUGUAGCGG
RNAcentral lists this ribosomal RNA (350 nucleotides) under uncultured bacterium. RNAcentral's name for it is "partial 16S ribosomal RNA". It matches the Rfam family "Bacterial small subunit ribosomal RNA", at positions 338 to 681 of the family's 1533-position model. The record is from RNAcentral.